AGCCCGGGCGCGAAACCUUUACACUGCACGCACGUGCGAUAAGGGGACUCCGAGUGCGAGGGCAUAUCGUCCUCGCUUUCGUGUACCGUAGGGUGGUACACCAACAAGGGCUGGGCAAGACCGGUGCCAGCCGCCGCGGUAAUACCGGCAGCCCAAGUGAUGACCGAUCUUAUUGGGCCUAAAGCGUCCGUAGCUGGCUGCGCAAGUCCGUCGGGAAAUCCACUCGCCCAACGAGUGGGCGUCCGACGGAAACUGCACAGCUUGGGACCGGAAGGCUCGAAGGGUACGUGCGGGGUAGGAGUGAAAUCCUAUAAUCCCGCACGGACCACCGAUGGCGAAAGCACUUCGAGAAAACGGAUCCGACAGUGAGGGACGAAAGCCAGGGUCUCCAACCGGAUUAGAUACCCGGGUAGUCCUGGCCGUAAACAAUGUUCGCUAGGUAUGACACAGACUACGUGUCUCUGUUGUGCCGUAGGAAGCCGAGAAGCGACC
RNAcentral lists this ribosomal RNA (492 nucleotides) under uncultured archaeon. Its description in RNAcentral is "bacterial SSU rRNA". It matches the Rfam family "Archaeal small subunit ribosomal RNA", at positions 332 to 824 of the family's 1478-position model. The record is from RNAcentral.